GGUAAUAUGUCUGAUUAAAGUUAUAAAUUGUAAAUUUAUAUAAGAAAUUUAAAUUUCUAUUACCA
RNAcentral lists this transfer RNA (65 nucleotides) under Ammothea hilgendorfi. RNAcentral describes it as "tRNA-Tyr". The record is from RNAcentral. Lineage: Eukaryota; Metazoa; Arthropoda; Pycnogonida; Pantopoda; Ammotheidae.